RNAcentral lists this ribosomal RNA (220 nucleotides) under uncultured bacterium. RNAcentral describes it as "partial 16S ribosomal RNA". It matches the Rfam family "Bacterial small subunit ribosomal RNA", at positions 111 to 334 of the family's 1533-position model. The record is from RNAcentral.
UAAUGUAUCGGAACGUGCCCAGUCGUGGGGGAUAACUGCUCGAAAGAGCAGCUAAUACCGCAUACGACCUGAGGGUGAAAGCGGGGAAUCGCAAGACCUCGCGCGAUUGGAGCGGCCGAUAUCAGAUUAGGUAGUUGGUGAGGUAAAGGCUCACCAAGCCGACGAUCUGUAGCUGGUCUGAGAGGACGACCAGCCACACUGGGACUGAGACACGGCCCAG